CAGUCGCCGCGGUAAUACGUAGGUGGCAAGCGUUGUCCGGAAUUAUUGGGCGUAAAGGGCUCGCAGGCGGUUUCUUAAGUCUGAUGUGAAAGCCCCCGGCUCAACCGGGGAGGGUCAUUGGAAACUGGGAAACUUGAGUGCAGAAGAGGAGAGUGGAAUUCCACGUGUAGCGGUGAAAUGCGUAGAGAUGUGGAGGAACACCAGUGGCGAAGGCGACUCUCUGGUCUGUAACUGACGCUGAGGAGCGAAAGCGUGGGGAGCAAACAGGAUUAGAGACCCCCGUAGUCCCUGUCUCUUAUAC
Molecule: ribosomal RNA, 301 nt
Filed under: uncultured bacterium
Lineage: Bacteria
Description: partial 16S ribosomal RNA
Rfam family: Bacterial small subunit ribosomal RNA
Source: RNAcentral